CCAAAGGCUCUUUUCAGAGCCACCUACAGUUCCAACUUAAAAGUG
This is a non-coding RNA of Otolemur garnettii (small-eared galago), 45 nucleotides long. The record is from Rfam. NCBI's taxonomy places the organism in Eukaryota, Metazoa, Chordata, Mammalia, Primates, Galagidae.